GGAGUCCGUCCACGGAAGCCACCGGAGAGCGUGUGUCUGCCCCCGCCGAGGAGUCCCAGGACAACCGCCGCCGCCGCCGCCCGCGGGUCGAUGCGACCCCCCCAACCGGGCCCCAGGCGCGCACACAGGCGCUGUCCGAGGCCUGGCGAGUGAAGACGGAGUGAAGACGGAGUGAAGACGCCGCUAUGCCGGGCCGGCGCGACGAGUGACUUGUCACUCAAGUCUCUCCUCUCCGGGGCUGUGAGGGCCUCGUCGACAUGCGGCGCUGCCCGCCAUCGUUCAACAUGGCGACAUUCUGCGACCUAGAUACGCCGUGUGGCGAGGCCACCCCAGGCCAGCGGAGGAAGACACCACGUGAACGACCAUUCCUGCCAGCAUCGCCCUCUGUCGCAGUAUCACCAACUGCACAACACCAACUGUACCUCGGCAUCCUACCUACAUAGGCUAUAUGGCAUUGCUCCUCGACACGUCGUCUGAUAUCCACAACAGAAACAGUUUUCAUGGGGGAUGGUAACUGUGCGAGACUUAAUAUUAAAAAAAAAUAUAUAUGGACAAAA
Molecule: long non-coding RNA, 557 nt
Organism: Bacillus rossius redtenbacheri
Lineage: Eukaryota; Metazoa; Arthropoda; Insecta; Phasmatodea; Bacillidae
Exons: 3
Source: RefSeq, a predicted model, not a curated record